Small nuclear RNA from Nerophis lumbriciformis (worm pipefish), 111 nucleotides. RefSeq annotates it as U5 spliceosomal RNA. The record is from RefSeq and is a predicted model, not a curated record. NCBI's taxonomy places the organism in Eukaryota, Metazoa, Chordata, Actinopteri, Syngnathiformes, Syngnathidae.
ACUCUUCUUUCUCUUCACAUCGCAUAAAUCUUUCGCCUUUUACUAAAGAUCUCCGUGGGGAGGAACAACAAGAUUAUAAUACUAGUUUGGGGCUUCCUUUAUUGUGAAAAU